This 440-nucleotide ribosomal RNA is filed under the name uncultured bacterium. RNAcentral's name for it is "partial 16S ribosomal RNA". It matches the Rfam family "Bacterial small subunit ribosomal RNA", at positions 338 to 795 of the family's 1533-position model. The record is from RNAcentral.
CCUACGGGCGGCAGCAGUAGGGAAUAUUGCUCAAUGGGGGAAACCCUGAAGCAGCAACGCCGCGUGGAGGAUGAAGGUUUUCGGAUUGUAAACUCCUUUUGUUAGAGAAGAUAAUGACGGUAUCUAACGAAUAAGCACCGGCUAACUCCGUGCCAGCAGCCGCGGUAAUACGGAGGGUGCAAGCGUUACUCGGAAUCACUGGGCGUAAAGCGCGCGUAGGCGGGAUAGCAAGUCAGAUGUGAAAGCCUAUGGCUUAACCAUAGAACUGCAUUUGAAACUGUUAUUCUAGAGUAUGGGAGAGGUAGGUGGAAUUCUUGGUGUAGGGGUAAAAUCCGUAGAGAUCAAGAGGAAUACUCAUUGCGAAGGCGACCUGCUAGAACAUAACUGACGCUGAUGCGCGAAAGCGUGGGGAGCAAACAGGAUUAGAUACCCCGGUAGUC